CAGUACUUAUGUCAUACUACGC
RNAcentral lists this microRNA (22 nucleotides) under Drosophila ananassae. RNAcentral describes it as "Dan-Mir-12_3p* (star (passenger))". The record is from RNAcentral. RNAcentral also lists the same sequence under 3 other names. Lineage: Eukaryota; Metazoa; Arthropoda; Insecta; Diptera; Drosophilidae.